AGCAAGACCUCUGCAAAGCAAGAAUAUAUGUACAGAUUAUCUCUAAGAGAAUGCAUAAGAAACUGGUCCAGGGACAGCUGAAGGGAUCAGAUCCAAUGACAGCAAACAAUUAAUGAUUGAUUCGGAAUGCUAUUUUAUGAGGAUGGCAUUUCAUAUCUCUCCUACUCAAGACCAUUCUAGAAGUAAGUAACAUCACCAUUUCACUGUUGCAACUGACUCAGAAGCUCAUUCAAGGCCACAAAUCAAGGAAAGGACUACAACACAGAAAAGCAAAAUGAAGAAAACUUAACAAAGAAAAACAGCUGUAUCCCACCUGCCAAUAGCAAGCAGGGCUAACAUGUAGGUGAGCUGAACUGCCCGGGCCCUGAAGCCCUGACUUCAGCCCUUAGUAUUAUCUGUCACUUCAGAAGCACUCGCACUGUUUUCCUCAUUAUUUCUAACUGCAAACACACUGGAGGCAACCCCACUUACACAGGAGGCUGGACACAGGCAGAGGUGGCAACGGUUCCUGGACCAUCUACAUCAUCCUGAAUACUUGAGAAUCAAUCAGUGCCUUGCUUAGCCUUCUCUAGGAAUUCUCUGGCUACCACAGAUUCGCAGGGGAAGGAGGGUCAGAAAGAAUGCCUGACUCAAGAAAGGAUCUUAACCAAACCACCCUACAUAUCCAGAAGGGAGGUGUCAGUCUCUGAAACCCCCAUUGAGGAAAAAUUGAGGAACAACCAAUGUCCCCGUGUUAAAUCUCCAUGUAUGUAUGUAUACAGGGGUAUACACUUCUGUAUUUAUACACAAAAUUGAGGUUAUCUUUGGGUGAGUUAUGACAUACUGAUUUUCCAAAUAUCUGGUAUAUAUUUUCCAAUUUUUAAAACACAAAUUAAAAAAAACAAGUUUUACUUUUAUAACCAGAAAAUAAAUGUGCUUUUGCCAUUUGGC
This is a non-coding RNA of Microcebus murinus (gray mouse lemur), 930 nucleotides long. NCBI's taxonomy places the organism in Eukaryota, Metazoa, Chordata, Mammalia, Primates, Cheirogaleidae. The record is from RefSeq and is a predicted model, not a curated record.